Molecule: ribosomal RNA, 253 nt
Filed under: uncultured bacterium
Lineage: Bacteria
Description: partial 16S ribosomal RNA
Rfam family: Bacterial small subunit ribosomal RNA
Source: RNAcentral
UACAGAGGUCCCAAGCGUUGUUCGGAUUCACUGGGCGUAAAGGGUGCGUAGGUGGUGAGGUAAGUCGGAUGUGAAAUCUCCGGGCUCAACCCGGAAAUGGCAUUGGAAACUACCUUGCUAGAGGAUUUGAGGGGGGAUUGGAAUACUUGGUGUAGCAGUGAAAUGCGUAGAUAUCAAGUGGAACACCAGUGGCGAAGGCAAAUCCCUGGAAAAUACCUGACACUGAGGCACGAAAGCUAGGGGAGCAAACAGG